RNAcentral lists this long non-coding RNA (859 nucleotides) under Anser brachyrhynchus (Pink-footed goose). RNAcentral's name for it is "lncRNA (ENSABRG00000009576.1)". Lineage: Eukaryota; Metazoa; Chordata; Aves; Anseriformes; Anatidae. The record is from RNAcentral.
GUAUCUACUCAUAAUGCAGUGUAAAACAAUUGCUGAGCCUGUUGAUACUGCAGAAGAGCAUAUUUAGCAUGCUGCUGAGAUGUCUGGAAAGCAGGGAGCACUGGGAGAGAAGGAGGGAUGCUUCUGUGUCCAAGGUAGCAUAGGCAGCAGCAGCCCCAUUAAGCUGAUGUACCUCGAGGAGAGCAAGGAGAAAAGGAAGUAAACCUGCAAGCCAGGAUGGCCUCAGAACUGGGAUCCCGGGCAGCUCUCCGACUCCACGUGCCUGUGCCGUCCCCUGGGAUGGGGCCUCCUGCUGCCCUGGCCACUGGGGACCUUGCAGGGGACAUGGAGGCGCUGGCUGUCACAGCACCAGAAGCAGCACAGAAAGAUGCAACAGCAUCACGAGCAGAGGUGGAUGCCUUAAAAGCAGCAGCAGUAAGAGGGGAGAUGGAAAGUCCAAAGGGAAGUCCCGGUGGAAACCUGGUCAACCCUGACAGAGCAGCGGUGGAAGCAUCAGAAAACCCAGAGGCGGAAAGAGUCGCUGAAGCAUUUGCCCGAGCAGCAGAAAAAAUAGCGAAAGCAGAAGUAACCAAGGUGUUGCAAUCAGCAAUAGCUGAGCUCAAAGAGAAGAAGAGGAGCAUGUGGCUAAAGCAGAGGAACACCAUUCAACUGGAGAAGGAGGACUUGGUAAAAGAGGGAGAGAUGAUAUGAGAUGGCGGAGAGGUGGCAUUGUGGGUCGUACCCAUAGGGGGGCUGGUACCCUGAUACUGAGUGCUAUGGUCACUCCAGGAAUGCAGUAGGGCUGUCCAUUUUGUCUUUUUUGUGAGUGCCCAUACUAUUAAAAAAUAAAGAUAUGCCAUAUUUGAAGACCCUUGUCUCU